CGGGAGGCAGCAGUGGGGAAUAUUGCACAAUGGGCGCAAGCCUGAUGCAGCCAUGCCGCGUGUAUGAAGAAGGCCUUCGGGUUGUAAAGUACUUUCAGCAGUGAGGAAGGUGGGUAUGUUAAUAGCAUAUUCAUUUGACGUUAGCUGCAGAAGAAGCACCGGCUAACUCCGUGCCAGCAGCCGCGGUAAUACGGAGGGUGCGAGCGUUAAUCGGAAUUACUGGGCGUAAAGCGCAUGCAGGUGGUUUGUUAAGUCAGAUGUGAAAGCCCGGGGCUCAACCUCGGAAUUGCAUUUGAAACUGGCAAACUAGAGUACUGUAGAGGGGGUAGAAUUUCAGGUGUAGCGGUGAAAUGCGUAGAGAUCUGAAGGAAUACCGGUGGCGAAGGCGGCCCCCUGGACAGAUACUGACACUCAGAUGCGAAAGCGUGGGGAGCAAACAGGAUUAGAUACCCUGGUAG
This 458-nucleotide ribosomal RNA is filed under the name uncultured bacterium. RNAcentral's name for it is "bacterial SSU rRNA". It matches the Rfam family "Bacterial small subunit ribosomal RNA", at positions 342 to 793 of the family's 1533-position model. The record is from RNAcentral.